Molecule: non-coding RNA, 24 nt
Filed under: Arabidopsis thaliana (thale cress)
Lineage: Eukaryota; Viridiplantae; Streptophyta; Magnoliopsida; Brassicales; Brassicaceae
Source: RNAcentral
GGAGCUGUCGACGAGCUAACUGGA